This 468-nucleotide ribosomal RNA is filed under the name uncultured bacterium. RNAcentral describes it as "partial 16S ribosomal RNA". It matches the Rfam family "Bacterial small subunit ribosomal RNA", at positions 28 to 507 of the family's 1533-position model. The record is from RNAcentral.
GACGAACGCUGGCGGUGUGCUUAACACAUGCAAGUCGAACGGUAAGGCCCUUUCGGGGGUACCCGAGUGGCGCACGGGUGAGUAACACGUGAGUAACCUGCCCUCCUCUCUGGGAUAACAGUCGGAAACGGUUGCUAAUACUGGAUAUGAGCUUGCAAGGCAUCUUGUGGGUUGGAAAGAUUUUUUUUGGUUGGGGCUGGACUCGCGGCCUAUCAGCUUGUUGGUGAGGUAGUGGCGCACCAAGGCUUCGACGGGUAGCCGGCCUGAGAGGGCGACCGGCCACAUUGGGACUGAGAUACGGCCCAAACUCCUACGGGAGGCAGCAGUGGGGAAUAUUGCACAAUGGACGGAAGUCUGAUGCAGCAACGCCGCGUGCGGGAUGACGGCCUUCGGGUUGUAAACCGCUUUCAAUUGUGACGAAGCUUUUUUGUGACGGUAGCAGUAGAAGAAGCACCGGCUAACUACGUG